This is a long non-coding RNA of Macadamia integrifolia, 1258 nucleotides long. RefSeq lists it as uncharacterized. The transcript is spliced from 3 exons. NCBI's taxonomy places the organism in Eukaryota, Viridiplantae, Streptophyta, Magnoliopsida, Proteales, Proteaceae. The record is from RefSeq and is a predicted model, not a curated record.
UUUCAUGGAGUUGUAGGUUUAGGUUUUUAAAAUCAAAACCUCUCUAUUUCGAUUUCAUGGAGUUGUAGGGCUAGGUUUUAAAACCAUAAGCUCUUUCAUGGAGUUGUAGGAUUAGGUUUUUAAAACCAGAAGCUCUCUAUUUUGAUUUCAUGAAGUUUAUUUUGAAUUCAUGGAGUUGUAGGGUUAGGUUUUUAAAACUAGAACCUAUCGCUCCCACCCGCCAGUCACUCAACCCUCACCUUCAACUCUGAAAAAUUCCUAUUGCCCACCAUCUCCCGCUGGCAAAGAAAACGAGGCCACAUGAGGAGUUUUAAGAUUUUGCUUCUCCUCUUCUUCGCCAAUUUUAUGAUUUCACGAGGUUUUUGCACAGUUUUUAGGGGUUUCAGGAACAGGAAUUGAAGGAGAUUUCAUUAAAUUUUCAGUUUUAAGAUCUUAUUUUGGGGUACUACUCUGUUUCUGAUUCGAUCGACCAUCGAUUUUUGUUUUGGUGAAGAUCGUACAAAACCCUUGCGAGUUGCUUAGUCUUUUUAAUUCUAAGGUAGUUGUGUGCACCUGGUUUUAGAUUCUGGACUUGACCUGCUUUAUCUGAGUUAUAAAUGGAGAGCUAGAAGCUUUAUAUGGUAUUGAUACUUAAUCGUUUAAAUGGAAAACCCCAGCCUGACUUAAAUGUUCAAUAUGCCAUCCAUUUUAUGAAGAAUUAAUGAAGUUUGAAUUUUUAAAGAAGUGAUGAAAUUGGAAGGUAAAAGUAUGAAGCAAAUAAUGGAUAUUUAUGUGGUGUGCAACAGCAGGCCAAGGUUGUUCCUAAACUAAGGCCUCAGAUAUUAGAUUCUUUGUUUGCAAACAUGAAGGAACAGAGGAUGAAGACAUCAUCUCAUCAGAUGAGAAGGGGUCGAUUUCAGCAACAGCAGUGGAAAAGGGAUCGAUUUAACAGUUAUUCCCACUAACUAGACCUAUGUUGAUCAUUGUGCAAGGACAUGUGAGAUCAUACGGGUGUUAAAAAUUGUACCCCAGCCAACCAUGUGGUGCAAAGUAGUGGAUUUAUCUCUAGCACCCAAGUCUCUGAUUAUCAGCAGGAAACAGUCCAUUCUUUGUUUUGCUUCCUUCAGUACUUUUCUCUUCAUUAACCUGACUAUCUCCAAUAUGGAAACUUGUAGAUAUUUUCUUUCAAUUUUUUGAUCUGAGAUUUGGAUUAGUUUGUUUCUCAUCUAGUUUGUAUUGGGAUGGUUGUUAAAUUCAUUGGUGACCAUUUAGCAGCUAA